This 335-nucleotide ribosomal RNA is filed under the name uncultured bacterium. Its description in RNAcentral is "bacterial SSU rRNA". It matches the Rfam family "Bacterial small subunit ribosomal RNA", at positions 9 to 337 of the family's 1533-position model. The record is from RNAcentral.
GAGUUUGAUCGUGGCUCAGAUUGAACGGCUGGACGGCGAGGUCCUAACACCAUGCCAAGUCGGGCGGUAGAGAGGAAGCUUGCGUUCUCUUGAGAGCGGCGGACGGGUGAGUAAUGCCUAGGAAUCUGCCCUGGUAGUGGGGGAUAACGCUCGGAAACGGACGCUAAUACCGCAUACGUCCUACGGGAGAAAGCAGGGGACCUUCGGGCCUUGCGCUAUCAGAUGAGCCUAGGUCGGAUUAGCUAGUUGGUGAGGUAAUGGCUCACCAAGGCGACGAUCCGUAACUGGUCUGAGAGGAUGAUCAGUCACACUGGAACUGAGACACGGUCCAGACU